RNAcentral lists this transfer RNA (59 nucleotides) under Escherichia coli. RNAcentral describes it as "tRNA-Met". It matches the Rfam family "tRNA", at positions 8 to 63 of the family's 71-position model. Rfam says of the family: Transfer RNA (tRNA) molecules are approximately 80 nucleotides in length. Their secondary structure includes four short double-helical elements and three loops (D, anti-codon, and T loops). Lineage: Bacteria; Pseudomonadati; Pseudomonadota; Gammaproteobacteria; Enterobacterales; Enterobacteriaceae. RNAcentral also lists the same sequence under 25 other names. The record is from RNAcentral.
UGGAGCAGCCUGGUAGCUCGUCGGGCUCAUAACCCGAAGGUCGUCGGUUCAAAUCCGGC